UACAGAGGGUGCGAGCGUUGUUCGGAAUUAUUGGGCGUAAAGGGCGCGUAGGCGGUGCGGUAAGUCACCUGUGAAAUCUCCUGGCUCAACUGGGAGCUUGCAGGCGAAACUGCCGUGCUGGAGUGUGGGAGAGGUGCGUGGAAUUCCUGGUGUAGCGGUGAAAUGCGUAGAUAUCAAGUGGAACACCAGUGGCGAAGGCGAGUCCCUGGACAACUCCUGACACUGAGGCACGAAAGCUAGGGGAGCAAACAGG
This 253-nucleotide ribosomal RNA is filed under the name uncultured bacterium. RNAcentral's name for it is "partial 16S ribosomal RNA". It matches the Rfam family "Bacterial small subunit ribosomal RNA", at positions 524 to 776 of the family's 1533-position model. The record is from RNAcentral.